AACGCACCUUGCACUCUUUGGUAUUCCGAAGAGUAUGUCUGUUUGAGUGUCAUGAAACUCUCAACCCCCUCGUUUUGUAAUGAAAUGAGCGUGGGCUUGGUUUAUGGCUGUUUGUCGGCUUUCGUUAGCCGGCUCAGCUGAAAUUGACGAGCAACCCAGUUUGAAUACUUGACGGUUUGACUCGGCGUAAUAAUUAUUAUCGCUGAGGACGUCUAACUUUCGAAUCGUUAGUGGUGCUUCUAGUGCAUUAAUUUACUUUAAGCUUUAGACCUCAAAUCAGUCAGGACUACCCGCUGAACUUAA
Molecule: unclassified non-coding RNA, 303 nt
Filed under: Ceriporiopsis sp.
Lineage: Eukaryota; Fungi; Basidiomycota; Agaricomycetes; Polyporales; Meruliaceae
Description: partial contains 5.8S ribosomal RNA, internal transcribed spacer 2, and large subunit ribosomal RNA
Rfam family: 5.8S ribosomal RNA (bases 1-52)
Source: RNAcentral